Molecule: long non-coding RNA, 2858 nt
Organism: Octopus bimaculoides (California two-spot octopus)
Lineage: Eukaryota; Metazoa; Mollusca; Cephalopoda; Octopoda; Octopodidae
Source: RefSeq, a predicted model, not a curated record
UUAUAGGGGCUAUGAAACAAUCUUGAAGUGUGCAUUUGAACAUUCCUGUCCUGUGAAAAAGCAAUUGAAUUUAGCGCCUUGCAGUUGUGAGUAUGCAUGCAGCAGUGAGAUAGACAGAACAAUGCAAGCGACUCUGGAGAACAAAUGCACUGCCAAAAGUGCUUAUGUGCAGUGUGCUAAGAAGUUUGGCUGUAAUCAAAUGCCAAUAAAGCUUAAGAAAAUCAUAUGUGUGUCUCCUCCUGUGAAUGGUUCUUCUUUCUUUGGAUCAAAGAUUCUACUUACGAUAAUAAUUGUUUUCACUAUUUUGUUUGCUUUUAUUACUACUAAUGUGAUUAUGGCUUAAAUACUAUUCUUCUAAAGCUUUAUUUUAUUUUUAUAAUUGAUAUUAAUCACUUGUUAGAUAACUUUAACAAUAAGUUUUUUGCUUUAUUAAAACUAUAUUUAUUAAAACAAGAUAAAAUAUUUGGGAUUGAAGUCAUAUACUGCCAAUACAUAUGCUGCUAAUAUAUUUACUUUAUAUAAAAAAUGAUGAUAGAGUCUUACAGUCCAUCAUGUUACCAUGUCUUAGAAAUCUACUGCUAGCACAUCGCUAAAGCCUUUAUAUGUGUCAGUCAUGUAGGAGUUCAUCCUCUCUCAACUGAAUUCAUAGUGAGUUCUGAAUUCAUAGUGAGUUUGAAUUCAUCAGUAGGUGGUUUAUCUCUUGUUUAGUAUAAAGCACCAACUCUAUGACUCUCUUUCGUCUAUUUUACUGCUUUAUAUUAUUUUUACUGUGCCUGCAUUAGCAUGAUAGUUUUGUACUUCUUGACUUUUGUAUAUUUUUGGAGCAGUAGUGAAACCAGUUGACUAAAAUAUGUUGGUAUCUAAAAAUAUGUAUCAUAGUAUUAUGUGGAAUAAGAUUUAGAAUCAACAAGUAGGGACUGGAUUCUUAUGUUACAUCUAGUGCACGAUGCUCAAUGUUAUCUUCAAUGUCAAAUUACAGAUACUAUAAUACCAACAAUUAACUGAGCUAAUUAUUUGAUUUGGUUUUGUAAUUUGCCAUUUCUCUUUUGGGAUGUCUUCUUUAAAUCCUAACUUAAUAAAUAAUCAUAAUAAUAGAGUUGUUUUUAUAUUUACCAUUUGAGGCCUGAUUACAGUUAAAUGAAUGUCUGAAAACCACAAAUAGUUGCUUUUAUUAAAAGAAGACAUUAUGUUUACAACAGUGCAACAAUACUAUUUCAGAAAGGUUAUUGAAUGUACUUGCAACAACUGUUGCAUUUAUGAUUAUCAUUGCUGGGUUUGAUGUAAAAAAAAUAGUUACUAAAAGAUUCAGUUUGAGUCAAAUUUAUAUCCGGGAGGUUACAAAAUGAAGUAACUUAACUUUCAAUUUCCAACUAAUUAAGUAUCUAUUUAGCUGGCAUUAAUAUAUUAUUCAUUAUUUGACCUAGGGUGAUCCUGAGUUCGCAGUUGAAUUACAAUUUUAAUUUUGUUGAUUUUUGUAAGAAGACUAGGCUGAAUUAGCAAGCCUGAUUAUGGGAAUACACAAGCAUUGUGAGAUACAUAUUAAAGACUGUAAUGGAUGGAAUUAUGACAAUUCUGCCAACAUAUCUGGUGAAUACAUACUUUCUGUAUGUUCAUAACUUUUGGCAAUUUAUUGAACACCACCACCACUACUACUAUUACUACAAGAUUUAUUAAGAGUGGAAGUAGGUUCUGGAGCUGAGCCAGGAGCAGAGUGUUGGUAGGUACCCAAGUGUUAAACUUCCAGAAGAUAAUGCAGAAUCUACUUUACAAGAUUUUUGUGUAUAACAGGUUAACAGAUAAUAAAUGUACAAUGAUACUUAACAGUAAUAAGUGCUGUUUGGUGCCUUGUUACUCACUAGACAUCUUGGCAGAGUUAUUGUAUUUCUGCCCACGUUGGUCUCAAAGUGUUUGAAUGUCUUCAUAAUUAUGCUUGUCAAGUAUUACAACAAUCAACAAAAUUUAAAAAUCAUUCUUGAACCACAGAUUCAGUACCACCAUCCAUCACAUAAUGUAUAAUGACCAUUGAUUGUAUUACAUGGCUAGAAUUUUGAGUUACAUUAAUCGAGAUUGAACAUCUUGAUGGAUAUUGAUGAAAUAUCAUCAAUAUCCAUCUAAUAAAAUCUUUAGGAUAAUCUUUUGGAUGCAGCAGGCACUCUUUCCAAAUCACAUCUGCAUAUUCUUUAACUGAAAUAUCUGAAGGAUAAAGUCCAGUAUCAACCUCACAUGUUUUAGGUAUGUUUUCUGUUGAAAGUUGGCUCUUGUGUUCUUGGACUGUUUCUGCACAUGCUUCUGUCAUGUUUUACAGGCUUUCUGUUGAUUUUCCAUGUCAAGCCUACUGUCAUGAUUGUAUCUCCAACAGUGCUGGUAUAACAUGAGCCUACAGAAGUGAGCCCAUGUACUGGAACAAUAUGCUGCCAAUCAUGCUGGAAGCCAAUCACAUAUAACAUCCAAGAACCUCUGAAUACUUCUUUUUCCCUUUCAUUCAAGCUGCCCUCCAAUUCAUCCCUUUUUAUGUGCACCAUAUUUGUGCUGGUAAGUUGACAUGGUAGAAAUUCUGUAAGGAAAGCAAAAAAAUUUAAUAUUUAAGAUUCACCUCAAGACCCAUUUCCAUUUUAGUGGACUUUUGGUUGGAUUUUGGGGAAAAUGAAUGUUAUUUCUCCUGUUAAUGAUUUCUGACUAUCCAUGGAAGUGCCUUGUUAGCAUAUAAAUUAUGUGUUAUUGGAUAUAUUUUCUAUAAUUAUUUUGUGAAGAUUUUUUUCUGCUGUAUAGACAAAUAAAAUAAAUAUACUUUUUUUCAUUUAAAUUGCAUUUAUUCAAUCAAAUUGCAUAAUUAAAGCUCUUAAAGUGUUGCCUUAUAA